UGCAGUUUCAUGGUAUUAGUCAUUUUAAUGUACAAUUGGAAAAGAAAUCAUGUAGUAUAUAUGCCCAAGUGGUUGCUCAUGCUGGCACCCAGCAGAGUGAACAUCAGCGUGCUCGAGAUCACCAAUGUACUGAGAAUCUCUGUCCAACCAAAUCGAGGAGCUGCACCAAGAUGAUGUCCAUUGUCUAUGGGCUCCUGUUGCUACCCAGCCGAUUAGAUGCCGGUAUGCUCAAGAUUACCAAUUUAGCGAGCAUCUUUGCUCAACCAAUUCGAGGAGAUGCACCGAGAUAAUGUGCAUCAGUGGUGGGCUCCAGUUGCUGCCCGUUUAUCGAAUGGGACAACAAUUCGAUUGUGAUGUGAACAGGGAGGCCACAACUGGUGGCUAACUUGUGUGUAUGCCCUCAAAAGGAUAAUGAGAAAGUGAUGCUUUUGCAAUAAUUGCGGAAUGUUAGAGCUCUGUGUGCUGGACCUUGCAUCGCUCUGUAGGUGACUUCAACCUGAUCUAUCAAGCUGAAGAUAAGAAUAACAAUAAUCUGAAUUGUACAAUGAUGGGAAAUUUCGGUGCCUCCUAGAUGCAUGAUGUCGAGCUUAAAGAGAUUCCUCUCUUGGGGCGCAAAUACACUUGGUCUAAUGAGCGUUUGUCACCAACUCUGGUAUGUCUCAAUUGAGUCUUCUGAUCCUCAGAUUUGGAGGACAUUUCCCCGACUUCCUCCUGCAAAGCUCGGCUUCUGUGGUUUCUGACCACUGCCCUCUUAUUCUUGGGCUGCAAGUUAAAGUUCAAGGGAAAAAAAGGUUCCAUUUUGAAAGUUUUUGUCCUAAACUUGAAGGUUUCCAGCAAAUGGUCAUGGAGAACUGGGAAGCUCAGUUGGGCUCGGCUUGCCUGGUUGAGAGGUUCUACCUCAAAUUGACUCGCCUUAAUAGAGGUUUGCAAAAGUGGAGCAGCAAAAAUUGGGGAACAUCAAGCUCCAACUAGACAUUGCAAAAGAAGUGCUUCACCGGCUUGAAAUCGCAAGAGAUUCUAGAGCUUUGUCUGAGGAAUAAGUCUUGUUGAGAAGGAAAAAAACUUAAAGUACUCUGCCUCGGCUUAGCUUCGCUUGUUUGAACGAUUGCGAGACAGCGCUCCCGCAUUCUGUACAUCCGUGAUGGAGAUGCCAAUACUUCCUUUGUUUCAUCAGCAUGGCAGAUUUAGGAAGAAAAAGAACUUCAUUUCCAAGCUGCAAGUUGGAGGUCAAAUCCUCACUUCUCAGGAAGACAAACAAGAGGCAGUAUGGAAUUUUUUCCACGGUCUCCUUGGGACAGCUAGUCAGAGGGAUCACUCUUGAUUUCUCCAAACUGGAUAUUGUGCAGCAUGAUCUGGUUUUCUUGGAGGAAGAUUUUACAAGUCAUGUUGGGAUAUUAUCAAAGAGGAUGUGAUGCUGGCUAUCUCGGCAAUACAUUGUGGCCAUGUGGCAAAAUUUAAACUCCUGAACACAACUUUCAUUUCUCUCUUGCCAAAGAAGAUGCCUGCAGCUCAGGUGAAGGAUUAUCGCCCCAUUAGUCUUAUUCACAGCUUUGCCAAACUAAUUACCAAGCUUUUGGCAAACCGUCUAGCGCCCCUUCUCCCAGCCAUGGUCUCGGUGAACCAAAGUGCUCUUGUGAAGGUUAGAAGCAUUCAUGACAAUUUUUUGCUAGUCCAUCAAUUGGCUAAAAGGCUGCUUUCUGCUCGAGGUUUUACAAGAACUUUUUGCUGAAUUUUAUUCUCGAGCUUUCCAGCAAUUGGUCCAGCAAUUUUUUGCUGAUUUCUUAAACUUGAUAUCUCUAAAGCUUUUGAUUCGGUGGACUGGUCCUUUCUGCUUGAGGUUUUACGUCAUCUGACCUUUGGGAAACGAUUGUGUAAUCUGAUUUGCCUUUUGCUUUCAACUUCUUCUACAAGAAUUUUGGUGAAUGAAGAACCUGGCCAGGUUAUUGCUCACUGUAGAGGUCUCCGUCAAGAGGAGACCUAUCUCUUCUCAAGCAGAUUUUGGAUUUAUUUUGGGACAUAUCUCUGGGCUAAAGACCAACAUGGCAAAGAGUUCUUGCAUCCCCAUCCACUGUUUGGUAGAGGAUUUGGAAGUGAUCUCCUCGGAGUUGGGUGUGAAAUGAAGAAUUUUCCUUGCUCUUAUCUUGGACUUCCUCAUUCAGUCCACAAACUUGCCAAGACUAACUUUCUAUCUCUUGUGGAUAAGCUAUCCCUAUUUAUGCAAUGAUGGCUUUGGACCUUCCUAAUUGGGUAAUUAAAGCCAUAGAUAAAAGGAGUCAGGGUUUUCUUUUGAGAGGAAGAGAAAACACUAAUGGAGGAAAUUGUCUGGUCUCAUGGGAUUGGGUGUGUCGGCCACUGUCCUAUGGAGGCCAUGGUAUUCUUAACAUGGAGAAAUUGGGGGUACUAUGAAUGAGGUGGCUGUGGAUCCAAAAAACUGAUUAUGCUAGGGCUUGGGCCGGUUUACCUAUUCAGGUAACUCUAAACGUCCAUUCCCUCUUUCAUGUGGCUGUCCAAACUAUAAUUUGGAAUGGAGAGAAUACCACAUUUUGGUGCGAUAGGUGGCUGCAAGGGAAGACAAUAGCAGAAUUGGCCCCUAAUCUCUUUGCUUUGAUCUCAAAGAGGGCAAAGAAGCAGCGAUAUGUGGCGCAAACCAUGGUCAGCAGAAGAUGGGUGGCUGAUAUACAUGGGGGGCUGUCUGUCUAGGUUAUCUAUGAGUAUUUGGUCAUUUGGGACUUGGUAGAAGGGGUGGUUCUACAACAAGAAGUUGAAGGCCAGCAUAUUUGGAAGUUCACCACAGAUGGUAAACAUUGUAAAUAUAUUUGGUGACCUCGUUGCAUAUUUUUGUACCAUCAUUGAGAAUUUUUGAUGAUAUAUCUUGUUUCACUGCUAUGACUUGCUGUUGAUUAUGCAACUGGAGAUGACACUUACACUUUAUUCUAGAAGAAUGGACAGUUACAUGGCCAGUGAAUUGCCAACAUUGUACCAUGUUGAUUUGCUGGGGUUCCUUGAAGAGGACCCAAUCGACGCACUUUGUUAUAGGCACUAACGGGUCAUAAUUGGAUCUGGGAUAUUCGUGGAUCUUUCUUGGCCAAUGUUAUUACGGAAUAAUUGGAUAACCCUUUCGGAUGCCCACGGCGAUUGUGCUAUACUUUUGAAUUUGGGUACUGCUGUCCAAAUAUCACGGGAUUCAGUCUAGUCAAUAUUUUUCCUCUUCCAAGUUAAUUGUUCUUAUGGUUUUGGUUUUUCUCUUGCCAACUAUUACUAUAUCAUCUAUUGCAAAUGGUAUAAUUGGAUCUGCCAUAUGCAUGGAUCUUUUUCCUAGCCAAUGUUAUUGUGGAAUAAUUGGAUAAUCUUUUGGAUGCAUACGACAAUUGUGCUAUACUUUUGAAUUUGGGUACUGCUGUCCAAAUAUCACAAGCGAUGAUAGGCUCAGGCACAAGUUGGCAAAUACUAAAGAAGGGGAGACUCUUUAUAUCCUCCCAAAUGUCAAUGAUCCAGCAUGGGAAUAUGUUAGAUAUAGCAAGAAGAAUUGUCAUCAAUAUGUGAAGUGCUUGUUAUGCAACAAAAGCUGGGCAUGUGGUAUCAGUCGUAUGAUGAAGCACCUUGCAGGAAUAAAGGGUGACAUCCAAGCUUGCAGAGCAACGACAUCAGAGAUAAAGAUGAAAUUUCGGAACCAGAUAGAGAUUGCAAUGAAUGAGGAGGAUAAAAAUCAGCAAGAAGAUGGGCAAAGGGCAUAGGUUGACACUAGAAACAUGCGCGGCCUUGCCGCGCGUACCGCAUACGUUCUGGGCUAUUUUUUAGCAAGUGAUGUUCAAUAUAAUAUAUGGGUUGACUCCACUUAAAUAUUGAUUACUUUGAUACCUCACUAUAUAAGGAGAACUUAAUGUACUUAG
This is a long non-coding RNA of Oryza brachyantha (malo sina), 3890 nucleotides long. RefSeq lists it as uncharacterized. The record is from RefSeq and is a predicted model, not a curated record. NCBI's taxonomy places the organism in Eukaryota, Viridiplantae, Streptophyta, Magnoliopsida, Poales, Poaceae. The transcript has 7 exons.